This 2923-nucleotide ribosomal RNA is filed under the name Klebsiella pneumoniae. RNAcentral describes it as "23S ribosomal RNA". It matches the Rfam family "Bacterial large subunit ribosomal RNA". RNAcentral also lists the same sequence under 1 other name. Lineage: Bacteria; Pseudomonadati; Pseudomonadota; Gammaproteobacteria; Enterobacterales; Enterobacteriaceae. The record is from RNAcentral.
GGGUUGUGAGGUUAAGCGACUAAGCGUACACGGUGGAUGCCCUGGCAGUCAGAGGCGAUGAAGGACGUGCUAAUCUGCGAAAAGCGUCGGUAAGGUGAUAUGAACCGUUAUAACCGGCGAUGUCCGAAUGGGGAAACCCAGUGUGAUUCGUCACACUAUCGUUAACUGAAUACAUAGGUUAACGAGGCGAACCGGGGGAACUGAAACAUCUAAGUACCCCGAGGAAAAGAAAUCAACCGAGAUUCCCCCAGUAGCGGCGAGCGAACGGGGAGCAGCCCAGAGUCUGAAUCAGCUUGUGUGUUAGUGGAACGGUCUGGAAAGUCCGACGGUACAGGGUGAUAGUCCCGUACACCAAAAUGCACAGGUUGUGAACUCGAAGAGUAGGGCGGGACACGUGGUAUCCUGUCUGAAUAUGGGGGGACCAUCCUCCAAGGCUAAAUACUCCUGACUGACCGAUAGUGAACCAGUACCGUGAGGGAAAGGCGAAAAGAACCCCGGCGAGGGGAGUGAAAAAGAACCUGAAACCGUGUACGUACAAGCAGUGGGAGCACCUUCGGGUGUGACUGCGUACCUUUUGUAUAAUGGGUCAGCGACUUAUAUUCUGUAGCAAGGUUAACCGUAUAGGGGAGCCGCAGGGAAACCGAGUCUUAACUGGGCGUUAAGUUGCAGGGUAUAGACCCGAAACCCGGUGAUCUAGCCAUGGGCAGGUUGAAGGUUGGGUAACACUAACUGGAGGACCGAACCGACUAAUGUUGAAAAAUUAGCGGAUGACUUGUGGCUGGGGGUGAAAGGCCAAUCAAACCGGGAGAUAGCUGGUUCUCCCCGAAAGCUAUUUAGGUAGCGCCUCGUGAACUCAUCUUCGGGGGUAGAGCACUGUUUCGGCUAGGGGGUCAUCCCGACUUACCAACCCGAUGCAAACUACGAAUACCGAAGAAUGUUAUCACGGGAGACACACGGCGGGUGCUAACGUCCGUCGUGAAGAGGGAAACAACCCAGACCGCCAGCUAAGGUCCCAAAGUCAUGGUUAAGUGGGAAACGAUGUGGGAAGGCACAGACAGCCAGGAUGUUGGCUUAGAAGCAGCCAUCAUUUAAAGAAAGCGUAAUAGCUCACUGGUCGAGUCGGCCUGCGCGGAAGAUGUAACGGGGCUAAACCAUGCACCGAAGCUGCGGCAGCGACACUAUGUGUUGUUGGGUAGGGGAGCGUUCUGUAAGCCUGCGAAGGUGACCUGUGAGGGUUGCUGGAGGUAUCAGAAGUGCGAAUGCUGACAUAAGUAACGAUAAAGCGGGUGAAAAGCCCGCUCGCCGGAAGACCAAGGGUUCCUGUCCAACGUUAAUCGGGGCAGGGUGAGUCGACCCCUAAGGCGAGGCCGAAAGGCGUAGUCGAUGGGAAACAGGUUAAUAUUCCUGUACUUGGUGUUACUGCGAAGGGGGGACGGAGAAGGCUAUGUUAGCCGGGCGACGGUUGUCCCGGUUUAAGCAUGUAGGCUGGUUAUCCAGGCAAAUCCGGAUAAUCAAGGCUGAGGUGUGAUGACGAGGCACUACGGUGCUGAAGUAACAAAUGCCCUGCUUCCAGGAAAAGCCUCUAAGCAUCAGGUAACAUCAAAUCGUACCCCAAACCGACACAGGUGGUCAGGUAGAGAAUACCAAGGCGCUUGAGAGAACUCGGGUGAAGGAACUAGGCAAAAUGGUGCCGUAACUUCGGGAGAAGGCACGCUGGUGUGUAGGUGAAGCCCCUGCGGGUGGAGCUGAGACCAGUCGAAGAUACCAGCUGGCUGCAACUGUUUAUUAAAAACACAGCACUGUGCAAACACGAAAGUGGACGUAUACGGUGUGACGCCUGCCCGGUGCCGGAAGGUUAAUUGAUGGGGUUAUCCGUAAGGAGAAGCUCUUGAUCGAAGCCCCGGUAAACGGCGGCCGUAACUAUAACGGUCCUAAGGUAGCGAAAUUCCUUGUCGGGUAAGUUCCGACCUGCACGAAUGGCGUAAUGAUGGCCAGGCUGUCUCCACCCGAGACUCAGUGAAAUUGAACUCGCUGUGAAGAUGCAGUGUACCCGCGGCAAGACGGAAAGACCCCGUGAACCUUUACUAUAGCUUGACACUGAACAUUGAGCCUUGAUGUGUAGGAUAGGUGGGAGGCUUUGAAGCGUGGACGCCAGUCUGCGUGGAGCCAACCUUGAAAUACCACCCUUUAAUGUUUGAUGUUCUAACGUUGGCCCCUUACCGGGGUUGCGGACAGUGUCUGGUGGGUAGUUUGACUGGGGCGGUCUCCUCCCAAAGCGUAACGGAGGAGCACGAAGGUUAGCUAAUCCUGGUCGGACAUCAGGAGGUUAGUGCAAUGGCAUAAGCUAGCUUGACUGCGAGCGUGACGGCGCGAGCAGGUGCGAAAGCAGGUCAUAGUGAUCCGGUGGUUCUGAAUGGAAGGGCCAUCGCUCAACGGAUAAAAGGUACUCCGGGGAUAACAGGCUGAUACCGCCCAAGAGUUCAUAUCGACGGCGGUGUUUGGCACCUCGAUGUCGGCUCAUCACAUCCUGGGGCUGAAGUAGGUCCCAAGGGUAUGGCUGUUCGCCAUUUAAAGUGGUACGCGAGCUGGGUUUAGAACGUCGUGAGACAGUUCGGUCCCUAUCUGCCGUGGGCGCUGGAGAAUUGAGGGGGGCUGCUCCUAGUACGAGAGGACCGGAGUGGACGCAUCACUGGUGUUCGGGUUGUCAUGCCAAUGGCACUGCCCGGUAGCUAAAUGCGGAAGAGAUAAGUGCUGAAAGCAUCUAAGCACGAAACUUGCCCCGAGAUGAGUUCUCCCUGAGACUUUAAGUCUCCUGAAGGAACGUUAAAGACGAUGACGUUGAUAGGCCGGGUGUGUAAGCGCAGCGAUGCGUUGAGCUAACCGGUACUAAUGAACCGUGAGGCUUAACCUUACAACGCCGAAG